UACGGGAGGCAGCAGUGGGGAAUUUUGGACAAUGGGCGAAAGCCUGAUCCAGCAAUGCCGCGUGUGGGAAGAAGGCCUUCGGGUUGUAAACCACUUUUGUACGGAACGAAACGGUUCGCUUUAAUACAGUGGGCUAAUGACGGUACCGUAAGAAUAAGCACCGGCUAACUACGUGCCAGCAGCCGCGGUAAUACGUAGGGUGCGAGCGUUAAUCGGAAUUACUGGGCGUAAAGCGUGCGCAGGCGGUUAUAUAAGACAGUUGUGAAAUCCCCGGGCUCAACCUGGGAAUUGCAUCUGUGACUGUAUAGCUAGAGUACGGUAGAGGGGGAUGGAAUUCCGCGUGUAGCAGUGAAAUGCGUAGAUAUGCGGAGGAACACCGAUGGCGAAGGCAAUCCCCUGGACCUGUACUGACGCUCAUGCACGAAAGCGUGGGGAGCAAACAGGAUUAGAUACCCUGGUAGUCCACGCCCUAAACGAUGUCAACUGGUUGUUGGGUGCAUUAGUACUCAGUAACGAAGCUAACGCGUAAGUGACCGC
RNAcentral lists this ribosomal RNA (537 nucleotides) under uncultured beta proteobacterium. RNAcentral's name for it is "bacterial SSU rRNA". It matches the Rfam family "Bacterial small subunit ribosomal RNA", at positions 340 to 872 of the family's 1533-position model. Lineage: Bacteria; Pseudomonadati; Pseudomonadota; Betaproteobacteria. The record is from RNAcentral.